CAACCUGUUGCUUGCUACUGUGGCUGCAAUGCACUUCAACCUGGAGCUGUUGUAUGGGCUGACUGUGAAACGGCGAGCUACCCAUCCUACCAUGAUCAGACAGUUCCUCUCCAUGAAGAAUGCUUGAGUAUUUCAUUGAGUCAACAGACAACAAUUCAGCCUCACUUAAGUUUGUCCAGAAAAAUGCAGUGUACAUAUUCAUUUGAGUAGCCUGUACAGG
Coregonus clupeaformis (lake whitefish) is the source of this 220-nucleotide long non-coding RNA. RefSeq lists it as uncharacterized. The transcript has 3 exons. The record is from RefSeq and is a predicted model, not a curated record. NCBI's taxonomy places the organism in Eukaryota, Metazoa, Chordata, Actinopteri, Salmoniformes, Salmonidae.